This 478-nucleotide ribosomal RNA is filed under the name uncultured bacterium. Its description in RNAcentral is "SSU rRNA". It matches the Rfam family "Bacterial small subunit ribosomal RNA", at positions 26 to 518 of the family's 1533-position model. The record is from RNAcentral.
AGGACGAACGCUGGCGGCGUGCUUAACACAUGCAAGUCGAGCGGAAAGGCCCUUCGGGGUACUCGAGCGGCGAACGGGUGAGUAACACGUGAGCAACCUGCCCCUGGCUCUGGGAUAGCCUCCGGAAACGGGGAUUAAUACCGGACAUUCACUUCCUUCCGCAUGGUUGGGGGUGGAAAGUUUUUUCGGCCGGGGAGGGGCUCGCGGCCUAUCAGCUUGUUGGCGGGGUAACGGCCCACCAAGGCGACGACGGGUAGCCGGCCUGAGAGGGGCGACCGGCCACGACUGGGACUGAGACACGGCCCAGACUCCUACGGGAGGCAGCAGUGGGGAAUAUUGCGCAAUGGGCGGAAGCCUGACGCAGCGACGCCGCGUGGGGGAUGAAGGCCUUCGGGUUGUAAACCCCUUUCAGCAGGGACGAAGCGAAAGUGACGGUACCUGCAGAAGAAGCGCCGGCUAACUACGUGCCAGCAGCCGC